RNAcentral lists this small RNA (146 nucleotides) under Sinorhizobium meliloti 2011. RNAcentral's name for it is "putative ncRNA". Lineage: Bacteria; Pseudomonadati; Pseudomonadota; Alphaproteobacteria; Hyphomicrobiales; Rhizobiaceae. The record is from RNAcentral.
CUCCAGGCGCUUCGCGGCUUCGUGAAUGCCCGCGCGGAUACGAUGAUAGGUGGCGCACCGACAGAGAUUGCCGGACAUGGCGGCGUCGAUGUCCGCGUCGGUUGGUUUGGGAUUGUUGGCCAGAAGGUCCGUUGCGGACAUGAUCU